UGUGUGUUGUUGUUGACAGUUGAGAGCAGGCGAAGAUGAGCGGUGGUGGUGGUCUGGUGGAAGUCCAGAACUCUGGCAGAGAUGAGUAAGGGAGACGGUGGGAGUCCAGAGAUCGGCGGCGGUGGUGGUCUGGUGGUUGGAAGUUCAGAUCUCGGCGAUGGUGGUGGCUGGAAGUCCAGAACUCGGCGGCGACGAUGGCUGGAAGUUCAGAUCUCGGCGGCGGUGGUGGUGUUCGAAAUAGAGAGAGAGAAUUCUGCAUUUUUUUUUCUUUUUUUUUAAUGUUGUUGGAAAUCAAAACGACGUCGUUUUGAUUUUUAAAAACGACGUCGUUUCCUUACGCUGCCGACUAUGCCACGCUGUAACUACGAUCAUCCAUGUCAGCUUCAAAUUUUGGGGAUUUUUUAAUUUUGGGAACAUUAAGAACGGAUUCUCAAUUCGUG
This 440-nucleotide long non-coding RNA is filed under the name Salvia miltiorrhiza (redroot sage). Its description in RNAcentral is "long non-coding RNA (SMIL_LNC009965)". The record is from RNAcentral. Lineage: Eukaryota; Viridiplantae; Streptophyta; Magnoliopsida; Lamiales; Lamiaceae.